Molecule: ribosomal RNA, 425 nt
Filed under: uncultured prokaryote
Description: bacterial SSU rRNA
Rfam family: Bacterial small subunit ribosomal RNA
Source: RNAcentral
UGGGGAAUUUUCCGCAAUGGGCGAAAGCCUGACGGAGCAAUACCGCGUGAGGGAGGAAGGCUUUUGGGUUGUAAACCUCUUUUCUCAAGGAAGAAAUUUGACGGUACUUGAGGAAUAAGCAUCGGCUAACUCCGUGCCAGCAGCCGCGGUAAUACGGAGGAUGCAAGCGUUAUCCGGAAUGAUUGGGCGUAAAGCGUCCGCAGGUGGUGAUGCAAGUCUGCUGUUAAAGAGUGAGGCUCAACCUCAUAAAGGCGGUGGAAACUGCAUGACUAGAGUGCGUUCGGGGCAGAGGGAAUUCCUGGUGUAGCGGUGAAAUGCGUAGAUAUCAGGAAGAACACCGGUGGCGAAAGCGCUCUGCUAGGCCGCAACUGACACUGAGGGACGAAAGCUAGGGGAGCGAAUGGGAUUAGAUACCCCCGUAGUCC